CCUACGGGAGGCAGCAGUGGGGAAUAUUGGGCAAUGGGCGCAAGCCUGACCCAGCAACGCCGCGUGAAGGAAGAAGGCUUUCGGUUUGUAAAUUUUUUUUGUCAGGGACGAAGAAAGUGACGGUACCUGCAGAAUAAGCUCCGGCUAACUACGUGCCAGCAGCCGCGGUAAUAAGUAGGGAGGGAGCGUUUUCCGGAUUUAUUGGGUGUAAAGGGCGGGUAGGCGGGAAUCCAAGUCAGAUGUGAAAUAUCCGGGCUCAACCCGGAAACUGCAUUUGAAACUGUAUUUCUUGAGGGAUGGAGGGGCAAGGGGAAUUCCUAGUGUAGCGGUGAAAAGCGUAGAUAUUAGGAGGAACACCAGCGGCGAAGGCGGCUUCUUGGACAUUAAUUAACGAUGAGGCGGGAAAGCGUGGGGGGCAAACAGGAUUAGAUACCCCCGUAGUCCACCCCGUAAACGAUGAAUACUAGGUGUGGGGGGACUGACCCCCUCCGUGCCGCAGUUAACACAAUAAGUAUCC
Molecule: ribosomal RNA, 517 nt
Filed under: uncultured bacterium
Lineage: Bacteria
Description: bacterial SSU rRNA
Rfam family: Bacterial small subunit ribosomal RNA
Source: RNAcentral